AGUGAACGCUGGCGGUAGGCCUAACACAUGCAAGUCGAACGGCAGCACAGUAAGAGCUUGCUCUUACGGGUGGCGAGUGGCGGACGGGUGAGGAAUACAUCGGAAUCUACUUUUUCGUGGGGGAUAACGUAGGGAAACUUACGCUAAUACCGCAUACGACCUACGGGUGAAAGCAGGGGAUCUUCGGACCUUGCGCGAUUGAAUGAGCCGAUGUCGGAUUAGCUAGUUGGCGGGGUAAAGGCCCACCAAGGCGACGAUCCGUAGCUGGUCUGAGAGGAUGAUCAGCCAAAAUGGAACUGAGACACCGUCCAGACUCCUACGGGAGGCAGCAGUGGGGAAUAUUGGACAAUGGGCGCAAGCCUGAUCCAGCCAUACCGCGUGGGUGAAGAAGGCCUUCGGGUUGUAAAGCCCUUUUGUUGGGAAAGAAAAGCAGCAGGUUAAUACCCCGCUGUUCUGACGGUACCCAAAGAAUAAGCACCGGCUAACUUC
Molecule: ribosomal RNA, 489 nt
Filed under: uncultured bacterium
Lineage: Bacteria
Description: partial 16S ribosomal RNA
Rfam family: Bacterial small subunit ribosomal RNA
Source: RNAcentral